ACAACUAUCAUUUAAUUGGUAAGAUGACCGUCUUCCAAACGGAAUUUAUGGGUUCGAUCCCCAUUAGUUGUA
Daldinia eschscholtzii is the source of this 72-nucleotide non-coding RNA. Lineage: Eukaryota; Fungi; Ascomycota; Sordariomycetes; Xylariales; Hypoxylaceae. The record is from the annotation of a GenBank genome assembly.